This is a long non-coding RNA of Micropterus salmoides (largemouth bass), 753 nucleotides long. RefSeq lists it as uncharacterized. The transcript is spliced from 3 exons. The record is from RefSeq and is a predicted model, not a curated record. NCBI's taxonomy places the organism in Eukaryota, Metazoa, Chordata, Actinopteri, Centrarchiformes, Centrarchidae.
UUUUACACUGAAACACAAAAAAUUGCAAGAACAACGACGUGAACUGGGUAAACCCGGAGAUAAUCUCUUGGUUGUUUAGCUAGGGAGUAAAAUAGAGUGGUCUAAGAUAGCUGACGCUGUCAGAAAGUAACUUGCAUCUAAAUUAAGUGAUACAAACAGGAAGAGCAGAAGAAACCUGGUGGCGGUUCCUUCUUCACUGACCCCAGCAGAAACACGGGGAAAGCGGAUCAUGAAGAUUUCAACUUCCCUCACUUACCCACGUCUACACACUUAACAUGCUUAGACAAAUUCAGACAGUAAGACUGUGUUAGUGGACUUGUAGACUGAAGAAGCUUGAUUUAAAGGACAUUUUAUGGACACAAAGAGUUUGAGGCCAGCCUGGAAAGCCAAGUGAUAAAAUUUGGCAUCAUCUGUGACCGGUCCACCCCCGUAGCUGACCACAAGACAACAGCUAUUGUGGUGGAGUGGAGAAUGAAAGUCCUGGAGUGAAAGCAUAUCCCAAAGUGCUUUGUUUUACUUAUGAAACUUUUUAAGUUUUUUAGAAGCUCUUUCUUUACCUCGAUGGACUGAAAGCCAGUGCAAAAGUAAUUUCUUAAGAACAGUGUUUUCUAAAGAUUCCACUUGUGUCAGAGCAAUUUCCGAUAUUAUUCAGAUUACACUGUUUUGUAAUUGGAUGUCAACUAAAGAGGAUACAAAAUUGAGAUUGCUUCUCUGUCAAGUUGCCAAAAUAAAGAUGAUGUUUAAAGAAAUACA